UGGGGAAUAUUGCACAAUGGGCGCAAGCCUGAUGCAGCCAUGCCGCGUGUAUGAAGAAGGCCUUCGGGUUGUAAAGUACUUUCAGCGGGGAGGAAGGGAGUAAAGUUAAUACCUUUGCUCAUUGACGUUACCCGCAGAAGAAGCACCGGCUAACUCCGUGCCAGCAGCCGCGGUAAUACGGGGGGUGCAAGCGUUAAUCGGAAUUACUGGGCGUAAAGCGCACGCAGGCGGUUUGUUAAGUCAGAUGUGAAAUCCCCGGGCUCAACCUGGGAACUGCAUCUGAUACUGGCAAGCUUGAGUCUCGUAGAGGGGGGUAGAAUUCCAGGUGUAGCGGUGAAAUGCGUAGAGAUCUGGGGGAAUACCGGUGGCGAAGGCGGCCCCCUGGACGAAGACUGACGCUCAGGUGCGAAAGCGUGGGGAGCAAACAGG
Molecule: ribosomal RNA, 429 nt
Filed under: Chloroflexota bacterium
Lineage: Bacteria; Bacillati; Chloroflexota
Description: Chloroflexi bacterium partial 16S ribosomal RNA
Rfam family: Bacterial small subunit ribosomal RNA
Source: RNAcentral